UAAAUCUUUAAUGCAGUCCCGUGAGGCUGGUAAGAUGAUAAUAAAUUACUGAAUUGUAAUUGAUUGUAAUUAUUAUAACUUCUUGCGGCCCACGUAAGAAGUUUUUUUAAU
Molecule: regulatory RNA element, 111 nt
Organism: Alkaliphilus oremlandii OhILAs
Lineage: Bacteria; Bacillati; Bacillota; Clostridia; Peptostreptococcales; Natronincolaceae
Rfam family: PyrR binding site
About the family: This family represents the PyrR binding site and terminator structure. This RNA structure is found upstream of a variety of genes involved in pyrimidine biosynthesis and transport.
Source: Rfam